AUUGAACGCUGGCGGAAUGCUUUACACAUGCAAGUCGAACGGCAGCACGGGGGCAACCCUGGUGGCGAGUGGCGAACGGGUGAGUAAUACAUCGGAACGUGCCCAGUCGUGGGGGAUAACGUAGCGAAAGUUACGCUAAUACCGCAUACGAUCUACGGAUGAAAGCGGGGGACCGUACGGACUCGCGCGAUUGGAGCGGCCGAAGUCAGAUUAGGUAGUUGGUGAGGUAAAGGCUCACCAAGCCGACGAUCUGUAGCUGGUCUGAGCGGACGACAAGCCACACUGGGACUGAGACACGGCCCAGACUCCUAAGGGAGGCAUCAGUGGGGAAUUUUGGACAAUGGGCGCAAGCCUGAUCCAGCCAUUCCGCGUGCAGGACGAAGGCCUUCGGGUUGUAAACUGCUUUUGUACGGAACGAAAAGGCUCUGGUUAAUACCUGGGGCUCAUGACGGUACCGUAAGAAUAAGCACCGGCUAACUACGUGCCAGCCGCCGCCGUAA
RNAcentral lists this ribosomal RNA (500 nucleotides) under uncultured bacterium. RNAcentral's name for it is "partial 16S ribosomal RNA". It matches the Rfam family "Bacterial small subunit ribosomal RNA", at positions 30 to 523 of the family's 1533-position model. The record is from RNAcentral.